CGGACGUCCCACCCCCGCAGGGAGCUGCGCCCGCUGCCCGGGCCUGGCCCCGCACCGCCCGCCCAACCUCUCCCCCCUAGCUGCCCGGACGGUCGGCUCCGGCGGAGAGAAACGGGAGCAACAGUGCCUUUUCCCCCCCUCUCCUCCACUUUUUUUUGUUGUUGUUGUUGCUUUCCCACGCUGGCUGAAUGUGACUUGACCCCAUUUCAAAAAAGUUUGACAUAGUGCUUCAACAUUUCCGCAUUCCUCCGCGACUACAAAGGCUGCAGCCGCCUCCCUCUGCUUUCUGUCUCUGCUCUCUGUCUUCACACUCAAUGAAAUCCUUCAUGUGCCUCUCCCGAAGCCUGCCAAGCACCGCAAGGGUCGCCACCAGCGCAGCGACAAGAGGCCGCACUGGGACCACGACUCCCGCGUGUGCGCACACGCAGAUGCGCCCCACGUGCACACUGUCGGGCGCAAUGCAGGGCCCGGAGCUGCUUACCGCAGGGUGUGCGUUUUAACUCGGAUAUUUUAAAUUAUAAAAGUAAAUUAUACUUUAUAAACUAAAGCAAACGUGCGUCUUUGUGGGGCUCCAAGCCUGUGCACUGGCCGCCUGCGUGCACUCCAGUAAGUGUGGAUAACACCCCCGCAGGGGCUGCCAGCAAGAAGCCUGCGUUAACAUUUAUCUCGUGGUGAGGAAGGUGGAGGCCACACCCACACCUCCGCGAGCUGGGGAGAGAGCUUUCGUGGGGAAAUGAAUAUGGGGCACGGAAACACAUUGUCCCGCAUGGAGUCCCCAGAGGCAGUGCAUUUUAAACUCUAAAGUGUGGAUUAUUCUGUGAAUGUCUGAGUGGAGUUGAUAUUCCGCUUUAAGAAGCUGGAUGAGUGUGUGGGUGUUUGUGCGUAAGGCUAUGUGGGAGUAGGCACAGGAUCUUAGUGUUCGGGGUGUCCCUAGGGUAGGCUGUCCUCCUCUCGCCAGAUUAGGAGGGACUCCUCUAGCUCCCCAAAAUUGCUCUCCGUAAUUAGCCUGCCUCGGUUCGUAAGGGGUUAACUAAAGCCGAUUUCGAAUACACCCCCCCCCCACCACCACCAUCACAGUCACCCCCACCCACACCCUGGCUUCCGACCCUGGCCAAGCUCCCAAAUCUCCCCCGGGGACCCCCCACCCAGCAGCCCACCCACACCAACGCACGGCUCCUCACCUGCGGGGCCCUGCCGCGUCAGGCCUCCGGAGGGGGCUGCGAGUGUCUGUCCGACCUCCGCACGUGUCCACAGCGGCGCCAAGCAGGUAAUACUUGAAUCUCCGCUGCACACAUGGCCUAACAAUUGUGUUGGCAUAACUGCCUUUGGUUGAGCUGAAAGUUUACUUAUUUUGAGAGAGAGAAAGCACAAGCAGCAGAGGGGCACAGAGGAGCAAAGAC
Felis catus (domestic cat) is the source of this 1400-nucleotide long non-coding RNA. RefSeq lists it as uncharacterized. The transcript has 3 exons. NCBI's taxonomy places the organism in Eukaryota, Metazoa, Chordata, Mammalia, Carnivora, Felidae. The record is from RefSeq and is a predicted model, not a curated record.